GGGGGCGUAACUCAAGUAGAGGCCCGCCUCUUAAGCGGUGUAUGUGGGUUCAAGUCCCGUCGCCCCCACCA
RNAcentral lists this transfer RNA (71 nucleotides) under bacterium. Its description in RNAcentral is "tRNA-Lys". It matches the Rfam family "tRNA". From Rfam's summary of the family: Transfer RNA (tRNA) molecules are approximately 80 nucleotides in length. Their secondary structure includes four short double-helical elements and three loops (D, anti-codon, and T loops). Further hydrogen bonds mediate the characteristic L-shaped molecular structure. tRNAs have two regions of fundamental functional importance: the anti-codon, which is responsible for specific mRNA codon recognition, and the 3' end, to which the tRNAs corresponding amino acid is attached (by aminoacyl-tRNA synthetases). tRNAs cope with the degeneracy of the genetic code in two manners: having more than one tRNA (with a specific anti-codon) for a particular amino acid; and 'wobble' base-pairing, i.e. permitting non-standard base-pairing at the 3rd anti-codon position. The record is from RNAcentral.